RNA transcript from Pipra filicauda (Wire-tailed manakin), 4098 nucleotides. It is a transcript of the gene named translation initiation factor IF-2-like, with no coding region annotated. NCBI's taxonomy places the organism in Eukaryota, Metazoa, Chordata, Aves, Passeriformes, Pipridae. The record is from RefSeq and is a predicted model, not a curated record. The transcript is spliced from 4 exons.
CAGGCAUGUGUUAAACAGAGAAUUUGUUUCUGGUAUAAAAAGAUGCCUGACUGCUCUGUGCACACACCAAACCAGCCCUUUGUGACUUGCACGGGUUGACUUGACUUCCAGGUUUUGAGACACUAGUUUUGAUCUAAAAGCCCAGCCUAUUGCUAGUGCUGCAGAACUGUUUGUUUGAUGCAAGGAGAAAACAGGGAUUGUGGCAGGAGCCAGGUCAGGCAGAUCCCCUUCGGUGCAAAACUCCUGGAGCGAGCUGCAGCAUUUCUGUUAAGGGCCUUCUGUGUUGGAGUUGACUUCUGCCACUCCGGGACCUUUCACUUGCAAAGUACAUUAUGGGGCUCCUUUGUUUAACAAGUCUCUGGGAGCUGCGAGAGAGAGAAUUAAUGCUGGCAUUUGGAAAGACAAGUGAUAGUGCUGCAUUGGAUUUGGGUUUCAUGUCAUUAUUUUCUGGUUCCGGAGUCAGAAAAAGCUGCUCAUUUACUUUUCAUGCAGCUGUACUGUUUUUUCCUGACUUCUUGAGGAGGCAGAGCUGAUGAAAUCGUGCUGUAGGAGACAGUUUCUCAGUUAAAUGCAUUUUAUUUUGACCUAUUUCCUUCCACUUGAGUCUAACAUUUGGUCUCUUCAUAGCCAAUAUUCUGUUUUAUGGAAAGGUUUUAAAGUUUUCCUGAAGGAGAUGAGUAAAAGGUGAAGUACCCAAGACAACCUAAAUUUAUAUUAUUCCUUUUGCCAUUAUUAUUAAAAAUAGGAAAGAAGAAGUAGUGUUGGGGAAAACACAGGGAAUGCUGAUGCAAUUAUACCUACAUGUGCAAAGCUACGUGCUUGCUUUUACUCUUGAAAUUUAGACCUCUGCUUUCCUUCUACAGACUGGGACAGUUCAUUUCAGUUGCAUUUUGCAACUACUGACAUACAUGUUCAUUCCUAAAUUCACUUCAUAUGCUUCCAAAUCCUUAGGACAACAUUCAGUUUAGGCACACCAAGAAAAACCUGGAGUGAUUCCACCCACCUAAAUGUAAUUACUCAGUGCUGAAUUAAAGGCACAGGUGUGUAACUUAAGACCCAUGUGUUUGGAGUAACAAGGAGAGAUCAAAAUCUCAGCUUUUGUCAUUAAAUUCAAUGUUUCUAGACCUUAAUCCAAGACACAUUUGUAGAGAGAGGUGAUAGCUUCUUUUUAGAGGCAUUACUAUUAUUAAACAGUGUUUUCUUGGACUGCUCACAUUUUCUCCCAGCUCACCGUCUAACACUAAUCUGUGACUAAAUAUUAAAAAAAAGUGAGCUGUGAAUGGUUUUAAGCUGAGACAAGAUUCUCACUGUUAAUGGCUUGGUCAGAGAGAGAGAGUAUUUGUUUCAGCAUGUAAAUCUCUUUCCUGCAACGCUUAAAGCUGCUGAUUCUGGAGUUUAGGAGGCCAGCGUGUCCAGAGCUGCUCUAGUCCCUGGGCUGAUGAGCUCUCCCAGCUGGGUAAAGCUCUGUCAGGAGCCAGUUUGUAGUGAAUUGACUGCAGGCAGAAAAUAUAAAAGCUCAUAGGAAACAUGAGCCUGACUCAGGAGCUAUUUCUGUUCAGGUGACAUUCUAAUCCAAGCGUGUGGUGAAUCAUUACAGCAAAAAUUGAUUGGACCCCAUAUCAAACGAGUAUUGAUAAAUAUGAAGAAGUUUGUUCUGAGUUAGUAAUAUAAGGGGUCUUUUAUAUAUAUGGUGCAUUACAACGGGGGGAUUCAGGGCUUUGUCAGACUGUCUAUAAAAAUUAAAAAAAUACACGUUUGUAAGAUUUUAGAAGAAAAGGUACAGUUUCUCUUCCCUGCAUGUGGCAAUUUGCUGAAUAAUGCAUCAUUUUGUCAACUCUUAUAUAGCAAUCGAGAAAUGCCCUACAGUGCUCCCUGCACACAGGAGACAAGAAUGCAGAUCGUUAUGGAAACAGGCUUGAAACUGGCUUGAAAUAAAAAUCUCAGUUCUAUACUUGUGGCUUUGAGGGCCUGGGCUGUUUUUCUUUUCCUUCUGGAGUAGCUGCGAUUCAUCUCGUUCGAGUGGAGUGAAUUCAUCCCGUUUCCGAGGCCAACGGGAGGAGCGAGCGGGCGGCCAUGUUGUGCGGGGGGCGGGGAGGAAGGAGCCGAGAUGGCGGCGGCUCCCUCACACACACGGCACAGGAUGGCCGGGGAGCAGCGGCAGCUCCCGCACGGCUCCCGGGCGCGCUCCCCGCCGCUCGCUCGGGGGACACCCGGCCGGAUCCCCGGGUGCCGCGCUGGAGGGCCGAGUAGGGCCCGGCACCCUGGGGGCGAGCGGGGCUGCCGAGAGGGGCUGGGACGGGCGGGCAGCAAUGGCGCCGGGACUGCGAGCGCUGCCCGCGCCGCUCCCUCGCCGGGCGGGCGCGGGGCCGCCCUUGGCCGCGGGAAGGGCGAGCAUCGGAGCAGCGCCCCGUCCUCGGGGCCCCCGGUGCCGGCCAGCGGGCUGCUCUUCGCCAGGUAGAAUGCCAUGAACAAUUCCUUAUUGUCUGAGUGGCUUCAGAGGAAACGUUCAUGAGUUAUUUUCUCAGAUGCAGGUAGACUGUCUUCAAAUACUGUCAUGUUUCUGUGCUCCUUCUGUCUAAAUUUGAGUUUCCCCAGCCUGCCUGGUUAGGUGUUCCUCAACCAGACGACAGGAGGAGACGGCAGAGAGAGACCGGGCUCACACAGGGCUGAGCAGCGAGUCAGGGGCUCUGCGCCUCAGGGCUCUGGCCUGUGCUGCAAACUCCUCUCACUUCUGCCUUGGAACCAGUGGAGGAGCACCUGGAGCACACCUGGGUGUUCCAAGGACAGAGACUCCCUGACUCACCAUGGCAGACAGGCAGGAGGAGGCGCGGAAGGGAGGGAGCCAGGGACCUCUUUGGAUACCUGCCAAGUGGACUCGAGCUGCUGUGAAUGUCUCGAGCCCUGCUCAGAACAGAGACGGCGAAAAGGAGAAUAGAGGAGAAGAUUCGGAUACUGCUUCUACCACGAGUGCGUGCAAUUAAAGGGUUACCCAAGAAUUUGCAACGGGAAAUUAACAAAUGUGAUAGUUAUGAAGCGUUUGUCCUGCUACUGACUGCACUGUAUCUAUUUUCAGAAAAAUAUUUUGGCACACGACACUGUUACAAAUGCAAGCAGCCAGGCUGCUUGGCCUGGAUUGCCUUUAAGUGUAAGACCUGUGAAGGCAAAUGGUAGUUUGAGCAACAUAAUUUGCGAGGAAUUUGGUGUAGAACUUGUGCUUAUGCAUUAUCACUUGAUACAUGGCAACGUAAUUUAGAACGAGCAAGAGGGUUACAGGUACUUGAAGCAUUGCUGUUGUUUGAAGCUGAAGAGCAGAGUCUAUUGGCUUACUUACACUGGUACACUACACAUAUUAUAAAAAGACUGAGUGUGAUCAAAGGUACAAAAAUUAUUGCAGCCCGGUGUGGGAAAGAUACACCCCUAACAACAAUAGUACCUUGUGGUCCCUUUAGAGGCAAUCCACAGCGAUACCUUAAUUUCUGUGUGAAAACAUACAAUCAAUUUGAAGGAAAAUGAUGAUCCUUUUAUGGUUUUGGGUUUUGGAGACAAUCUUAAUGACACAAGGGCACCCUAGCAUCCCUGUUGGACCCAGAGAAAACAUUUGGGUAACGUUUGCCAACCAAACAGGUCAAAUGGAUUUUUGUCUGAGUAUGGCCAAAGCAUCUGAUCCCUUUCAAACAUGUCUGAUUGGCAUUCCUUACCUUGAUACAGGUGACUUUAAAGGAUGAGUUAAUCCUAAUCCUACCAAAAUUGAGGUGGAACGUGCAUGCAAUGUAACCAAAGAAUGCACGAAUGGCACCAAAGGUAUGAUGUCUCUUUUGUUGGUGGCUAAUCUGAACAGGACAAUGACAGACAGUCCCAGUGAAUUACAACUAUUUGGAGCUGUGUAUGGAAAUGACUCUUGUUUCAGACUUAAUCUGAAAAAAGAAAAGAUCUUUUUGAAAUGGCAACAAACAAUUGGGAAUGUAUCCACCACAAACAUAACAGCACAAAGCCCUCCAUAUGACAAUGUAACCUGGUGCCAAGGUUAUGUCAGAAAUUUAACAAUGAAUGUGACAAAACCAAAAUAUUUACCACCUGGUUACUUCUUGAUUUGUGGCA